RNAcentral lists this ribosomal RNA (870 nucleotides) under Bacillus sp. (in: firmicutes). RNAcentral's name for it is "bacterial SSU rRNA". It matches the Rfam family "Bacterial small subunit ribosomal RNA", at positions 22 to 875 of the family's 1533-position model. The record is from RNAcentral. Lineage: Bacteria; Bacillati; Bacillota; Bacilli; Caryophanales; Bacillaceae.
CGUCAGGACGAACGCUGGCGGCGUGCCUAAUACAUGCAAGUCGAGCGAAUCUUUGGGAGCUUGCUCCCAUUGGUUAGCGGCGGACGGGUGAGUAACACGUGGGCAACCUGCCUGUAAGACUGGGAUAACUUCGGGAAACCGGAGCUAAUACCGGAUAAUUCUUUUCCUCUCAUGAGGAAAAGCUGAAAGUCGGUUUACGCUGACACUUACAGAUGGGCCCGCGGCGCAUUAGCUAGUUGGUGAGGUAACGGCUCACCAAGGCGACGAUGCGUAGCCGACCUGAGAGGGUGAUCGGCCACACUGGGACUGAGACACGGCCCAGACUCCUACGGGAGGCAGCAGUAGGGAAUCUUCCACAAUGGACGAAAGUCUGAUGGAGCAACGCCGCGUGAGCGAUGAAGGCCUUCGGGUCGUAAAGCUCUGUUGUUAGGGAAGAACAAGUACCGGAGUAACUGCCGGUACCUUGACGGUACCUAACCAGAAAGCCACGGCUAACUACGUGCCAGCAGCCGCGGUAAUACGUAGGUGGCAAGCGUUGUCCGGAAUUAUUGGGCGUAAAGCGCGCGCAGGCGGUCCUUUAAGUCUGAUGUGAAAGCCCACGGCUCAACCGUGGAGGGUCAUUGGAAACUGGGGGACUUGAGUGCAGAAGAGGAAAGCGGAAUUCCACGUGUAGCGGUGAAAUGCGUAGAGAUGUGGAGGAACACCAGUGGCGAAGGCGGCUUUCUGGUCUGUAACUGACGCUGAGGCGCGAAAGCGUGGGGAGCAAACAGGAUUAGAUACCCUGGUAGUCCACGCCGUAAACGAUGAGUGCUAAGUGUUAGGGGGUUUCCGCCCCUUAGUGCUGCAGCUAACGCAUAAGCACUCCGCCUG